CGGGACGUGGCGCAGCUUGGUUAGCGCACUGGUCUGGGGGACCAGGGGUCGCCGGUUCGAAUCCGGCCGUCCCGA
Molecule: transfer RNA, 75 nt
Filed under: Actinomycetota bacterium
Lineage: Bacteria; Bacillati; Actinomycetota
Also listed under: 1 other name
Description: tRNA-Pro
Rfam family: tRNA
About the family: Transfer RNA (tRNA) molecules are approximately 80 nucleotides in length. Their secondary structure includes four short double-helical elements and three loops (D, anti-codon, and T loops). Further hydrogen bonds mediate the characteristic L-shaped molecular structure. tRNAs have two regions of fundamental functional importance: the anti-codon, which is responsible for specific mRNA codon recognition, and the 3' end, to which the tRNAs corresponding amino acid is attached (by aminoacyl-tRNA synthetases). tRNAs cope with the degeneracy of the genetic code in two manners: having more than one tRNA (with a specific anti-codon) for a particular amino acid; and 'wobble' base-pairing, i.e. permitting non-standard base-pairing at the 3rd anti-codon position.
Source: RNAcentral